Long non-coding RNA from Ziziphus jujuba (common jujube), 1580 nucleotides. RefSeq lists it as uncharacterized. Lineage: Eukaryota; Viridiplantae; Streptophyta; Magnoliopsida; Rosales; Rhamnaceae. The record is from RefSeq and is a predicted model, not a curated record. The transcript has 3 exons.
UUUUGGAAUUAACUUCUAAAGAUCUUUUAUUUACUUUUUCUCCAUUAACUUUAUCCUCUUUUUCUUUUCAGUAGAAACGUUUCCAGUUUAACAAUUGCGAAGGUAUCUUGAUUGCUGAAUUUAUCCGAUAUGCUUUUGCACCAUGGGUUUCUUUUGGGAGAUAAAUACAAAUCAUAUUGAUUUAUAUCUGUGACAUAAUUUGCUAUACUAUCUGACUCCGAUCCUUAUGUACUAAGUUUAAUUGGAUAAUUGUUGGGUGAAGAGCAACAAGAAAUCCUCAUACACCAGAAAGGUAUACAGGCGGAUCUUCCUCAGCCUCAGCAGCAAUUGUAGCUUCUGGAAUAUGCCCUGCAGCGCUUGGAACAGAUGGUAGAGGUUGUGAAAACUUAAUAUGAAAGGGUUACACUAUUAUUUCUUAUAUAUUUAAAUUUAGUAUUAGUUAUGCUUUUUCUAUUGUGAAUGAGCAGGUUCAGUGCGUAUACCUUCUUCCCUUUGUGGGGCAGUGUGCUUGAAGACAACAUUUGGAUGCACUGAUAUGGAAGGGUCAUUAUGUUCUGGUACUCUAGAAAUUAUUGGAACAAGUGCAUCGACUGUGGAGGAUAUAAUGCUAGUGCAAGAAAAUCAUGCUUGUAAUCGGCAAUCGUGUGCUCCUCUCUUGCGGAUAGAAUUAGUUUGAAACCGGUAUUUUUUGAAAACCUUACACCAUUGAGUACUCGCCAAGAAACUUUGAAAAAAACUGCAUUAUCAAGAUAUUACUUCUAUAAUGUGACCUUGUUGGCCACAAGAACGGAACAAAAGAAAAGUACAUGAAGAAAGAUAAUUGCAUUUACAGAAUAUAUGAGUAAUUAUCUGAUAUUCUGAUUUAGGAUUUAAUGACUCUAUAAUGUUGAUAAUUAUCCUCAUUUAAAUCUAGUCAUGCAUGGAAAUAGAUUUAUUUGGAAUUUUGUCCAGCUUUUAAUCCAUAAUAAUUAAUUAAUUAAUUUGUCUCUUCUCGCCUAUGUGCCAAAGCAAUCAUUGUUCACCUUUUGUAGGGCCCAUCUUGUGCUCCAAAUUUAUCUUUGACAAUUCAAACAUUUUGGGAUCCAUGCGACUGAAAGGAAGUAUUCAGCUGUAAUAGCCACUUCUUAGGGAAGUAGAUUAAACUCAAAUUUGUCUUACAUAUCAACUGACAUGUUUUAUAAAAGCAUAAACGUAUAUUCUCAUUCUCCUGCAGUGGUUUAAUGAUGUAUAUUCAACUGAUAUUUCUGAAAAAUGUGAGGAUGCUGUUGAUCUUUUGUCAAAAACCCAUUGUUGUGAAGUAUAAGUCUUGUUAUUAUCAUAUUCUUCAUGUAUUGUAAAUCCAUCAUUGUUUAUAAUUAAAAAAGUAAAAACUAUAUGUUUCAAAAAGAGAUUCAAUAUGCUUAUGCUAGGCUGAGACAGUACAAUUUCUUUAUUAUAAUUUUUCAAGAUUGUAGAAAUUGUUGUACCUGGCUUGAAGGGAAUGCAAAAUGCUCAUGUUGUUUCGAUUGGAUCUGAGACAGCGUGUUUGUUGAAUCCAAACUGUGCAGAUGGGAAUGUUCAUUGAAUCCGUCGUGUUGCCG